Molecule: ribosomal RNA, 467 nt
Filed under: uncultured Glomus
Lineage: Eukaryota; Fungi; Glomeromycota; Glomeromycetes; Glomerales; Glomeraceae
Description: SSU rRNA
Rfam family: Eukaryotic small subunit ribosomal RNA
Source: RNAcentral
AGCAGCCGCGGUAAUUCCAGCUCCAAUAGCGUAUAUUAAAGUUGUUGCAGUUAAAAAGCUCGUAGUUGAAUUUCGGGACCAAUAUGUCGGUCGUGCCUCGGUACGUACUGGUGUCAUUGGUCUCUCUCUUCUGAGGAUCCUUGAUGUCAUUAAUUUGGUGUCUUGGGAAAUCAGGACUGUUACCUUGAAAAAUUAGAGUGUUUAAAGCAGGCAUACGCUUGAAUACAUUAGCAUGGAAUAAUGAAAUAGGACGUUCGAUUCUAUUUUGUUGGUUUCUAGGAUCGACGUAAUGAUUAAUAGGGAUAGUUGGGGGCAUUAGUAUUCAAUUGUCAGAGGUGAAAUUCUUGGAUUUAUUGAAGACUAACUACUGCGAAAGCAUUUGCCAAGGAUGUUUUCAUUAAUCAAGAGCGAAAGUUAGGGGAUCGAAGACGGCCAGAUACCGUCGUAGUCUUAACCAUAAAACUAUG